CCUACGGGUGGCUGCAGUGGGGAAUAUUGGACAAUGGGCGAAAGCCUGAUCCAGCCAUGCCGCGUGUGUGAAGAAGGCCUUCGGGUUGUAAAGCACUUUCAGUGGGGAAGAAAGCCUUGGGGCUAAUACCCUCGAGGAAGGACAUCACCCACAGAAGAAGCACCGGCUAACUCCGUGCCAGCAGCCGCGGUAAUACGGAGGGUGCGAGCGUUAAUCGGAAUUACUGGGUGUAAAGCGCGCGUAGGCGGUCUGAUAAGCCGGUUGUGAAAGCCCCGGGCUCAACCUGGGAACGGCAUCCGGAACUGUCAGGCUAGAGUGCAGGAGAGGAAGGUAGAAUUCCCGGUGUAGCGGUGAAAUGCGUAGAGAUCGGGAGGAAUACCAGUGGCGAAGGCGGCCUUCUGGACUGACACUGACGCUGAGGUGCGAAAGCGUGGGUAGCAAACAGGAUUAGAUACCCGAGUAGUC
This 465-nucleotide ribosomal RNA is filed under the name Vreelandella stevensii. RNAcentral describes it as "partial 16S ribosomal RNA". It matches the Rfam family "Bacterial small subunit ribosomal RNA", at positions 338 to 795 of the family's 1533-position model. The record is from RNAcentral. Lineage: Bacteria; Pseudomonadati; Pseudomonadota; Gammaproteobacteria; Oceanospirillales; Halomonadaceae.